GACAGAGGGUGCAAACGUUGUUCGGAAUUACUGGGCGUAAAGCGAGUGUAGGCGGUUUCCUAAGUCAGGUGUGAAAGCCCCGGGCUCAACCCGGGAAGUGCACUUGAAACUGGGAGGCUAGAGUAUCGGAGAGGUUGGUGGAAUUCUCGGUGUAGAGGUGAAAUUCGUAGAUAUCGAGAGGAACACCGGUGGCGAAGGCGGCCAACUGGACGAAUACUGACGCUGAGGCGCGAAAGCGUGGGGAGCAAACAGG
RNAcentral lists this ribosomal RNA (253 nucleotides) under uncultured bacterium. RNAcentral describes it as "partial 16S ribosomal RNA". It matches the Rfam family "Bacterial small subunit ribosomal RNA", at positions 524 to 776 of the family's 1533-position model. The record is from RNAcentral.